RNAcentral lists this long non-coding RNA (594 nucleotides) under Apteryx owenii (little spotted kiwi). Its description in RNAcentral is "lncRNA (ENSAOWG00000010571.1)". The record is from RNAcentral. Lineage: Eukaryota; Metazoa; Chordata; Aves; Apterygiformes; Apterygidae.
AGAGCACUAUCCUCUACAGCUGUUGUACUCUGGAUGACUCUACACUGAAUUUACUGUAAACAUAAACUCUUUCUCAAAAGGUUUGGAAUAUUCCUGUUGGAGCUUCCCAGACAUAUCCACAUUUUGCCUCACUUCUGCCUGUCUGAUAGCUGUACCUGAGGAUUAUUGAUCUCUAGAAGGUGCCAAGCUCACCUUCUGAGGUACAUCAGCACUGCUAUUAAUGGAAUAUGCUGUACUGAGACCCAUAAGGCUAUACCUGAGGAUCAGGUCCUGUACUACGAGAUGCCAUUGUUAAUUAAACUGAAGGUUAAUUAAACUUUCCCUCUUUUUCCCAGUAUUUCUGAGCAUAGAGGACAUAAAGAAUUGCUAUUGCAUCACGCUAAGGUAAAAGUGUAUGCUGUCCAAGGGUUACUGCACAGAACGAAGAGUCUCAGCUCCUGGACUUAAUUUCCUGUUUUGAAAUCAACUUUGGCAUGUCACAGCUGGGGCCUGUUAUUGUGAGAGCUGCUAAACACUGUGAUUCCUGCUGAAUUCUGAGAGCUGCAGGUAUGCAGCAUUUCUGAAAAUGCAAGUUGAAUUGUGUGAAGUUAAAUU